GCGACGAAACAGGGGUGCUUCGCAAGAGGCGAGCAUGGCGCAGGCCAUAUCGCGGCGAGGCUGAGAGAGUCCCUUCGCACCCGAUCCGGAUAAUACCGGCGCGGGAAGUUUCCGGAACCCGCGC
This 124-nucleotide non-coding RNA is filed under the name Trinickia caryophylli. RNAcentral describes it as "Paraburkholderia caryophylli TPP sequence". It matches the Rfam family "TPP riboswitch aptamer (THI element)". Rfam says of the family: Vitamin B(1) in its active form thiamin pyrophosphate (TPP) is an essential coenzyme that is synthesised by coupling of pyrimidine and thiazole moieties in bacteria. The previously detected thiamin-regulatory element, thi box was extended, resulting in a new, highly conserved RNA secondary structure, the THI element, which is widely distributed in eubacteria and also occurs in some archaea. Lineage: Bacteria; Pseudomonadati; Pseudomonadota; Betaproteobacteria; Burkholderiales; Burkholderiaceae. The record is from Rfam by way of RNAcentral.